This is a long non-coding RNA of Cebus imitator (Panamanian white-faced capuchin), 1416 nucleotides long. RefSeq lists it as uncharacterized. Lineage: Eukaryota; Metazoa; Chordata; Mammalia; Primates; Cebidae. The record is from RefSeq and is a predicted model, not a curated record. The transcript has 2 exons.
ACGAGGAAUUAUACAAAGGUUCGGAAUGAGAGCAGGGGUUUUAAGGCUGGGCAGAGGCUCUAAGCUCCGCCCCUUCGUUCCAGACCCUACCCACAGGUUCCCAGGUCCCUUGUUGAGAUCCCAGUGGGGCGGGAUCUCAGGAAUAGGAGGGUUACUGUCAUGUGACUCUCUCCGGCCUCAGCCGCCUCGGAAGCUGCUAGGCAGAAGUAGACGUUCAGAAGAGGGCUAGGCAGGGCGAACCCACAUCUGGGAGAGGCAAGGAGAGCGGAAGUGGCGUUGGUCUGGCCGGAGUUCUUUGGUGAAAUUGUUAGGUGUGGAAAGGGAGUGAUGUCUUCCAGACUCGGUGCUGUACCUAGCCUGGGACAGGGCUUUGAGAAUGGGGAAGACGAAGGCUCUGGUAUUGUUACCAGCCUUUGCACAGCUGGAAGAUAGGACAGCACAUUUUUCCUAAAAAGUGUUGCCUUCUUCAGUUUGAGGUUAUUGCCCCGGGAGAGCUUCAUUUCUUCUGGGCAUAGGGGAAUUCUUCUUUUUGUGGUCGAGGUUCAGAGAUCCCUAGAACUCACUCGUGUGCUUGUGAUUUGCUAGACUUCAGGACCCACAACCUUUAAACAGCAGAGGAGCACGAGGAUCGUGGGAGCUAAGAAGUAAGUGAGGUUUUCUCAGGUCCUUUUAUGAUUGUGUCACCAGCACUGUCCAGUAGAACUUCUUCCUGUGAUGAAAAUGUUCAGUAUCUGCAUUGUCCAGUAUCACAGCCACUAGCCCUGUGUGGAUUUUGAGCCGUUGAAAUGUGGCUGGUGCAACUGAGGGACUGAAUUUUAAAUUUUAUUUGCUAAGUAAGAGGUUUUUCUAAGGUUCUUUUGUGAUUGUGUGUCCAGCGCUACCCAUUAGAACUUGUGACAAAAAUGUUCUGUAUCUGCACUGUCUAGUAUCAUAGCCACUAGACCCUUAUGGCGUUUGAGCGCUAGAAAUGUGGCUAGUGUAACUGAGAAAUUGAAUUUUAAAUUUUAUGUUAUUUUAACUAAAUAGCCACCUGUAGCUAGUGACUACUGGAUUGGACAGUGUACGUAUAAGCCUACUGUGUGGUAGAGAAACCUAGCUUGCAAAAAAAGAGUACAAGUUAUAACAAAAAUGGAACCAAUGACUUACUGGUAAUCCUGUACUUCUCCAGACAUCACAUUCGUGCUCAUAAAUACAUUGAUUAACUUGGGAUGGAUGAUCAAAAUGGCUGGAAGAAAUCCUUGUAUUUUUAAACUACUUGGUUGUAAGACUGGUUUAUUAUUUAGAACACUGAAGGUACUUAGUUUUUCCAUGGUUAACACAAAAGAAAACAUUCUUGUUAACUAGACAUUAAAUGGAUUCAUUCAGGUGACAUUUAUGAAAUGUCUGCUGUGUGUGCCAGUUCUGUAGUAGGUUAGG